RNAcentral lists this ribosomal RNA (425 nucleotides) under Ephemera simulans. RNAcentral describes it as "partial 12S ribosomal RNA". The record is from RNAcentral. Lineage: Eukaryota; Metazoa; Arthropoda; Insecta; Ephemeroptera; Ephemeridae.
UAAGAACAUAACUAUUACUACUCAAGUCUUAUAAACUACGAUUAGAUACCCUAUUAUUCUAAUUGUUAAUUUAUAAGACUUGAGUAGUAAUAGUUAUGUUCUUAAAACUCAAAGAAUUUGGCGGUGUUUUAGUCUUAUCAGAGGAAUUUGCCCCGUAAUCGAUAACCCACGUUUUACUUUGCUUAAUUUGGUCAACAGCUUGUAUACCGCCGUCAGCAGGAUAUAUUUAGAAAUUAUAUUCGAGAAUUAUUAAUAUAAAAUAUGUCAGGUCAAGGUGCAGUUUAUAAUUAAGAGGAGGUGAAUUACAAUAUAAACAUAUAUUACGGAUUUGGUAUUGAAAGAUAUCUUUAAAGGUGGAUUUGGGUGUAAUAAAGUCAAGAUAAAUUUUAUGAUAUAAAGCUCUAAAACAUGCACACAUCGCCCGU